UACGGGGGGGGCAAGCGUUGUUCGGAAUUAUUGGGCGUAAAGGGUUCGUAGGUGGCCGGCUAAGUCAGACGUGAAAUCCCUCAGCUUAACUGGGGAACUGCGUCUGAGACUGAUCGGCUUGAGUGCAGGAGAGGAACGCGGAAUUCCAGGUGUAGCGGUGAAAUGCGUAGAUAUCUGGAGGAACACCGGUGGCGAAGGCGGCGUUCUGGACUGCAACUGACACUGAGGAACGAAAGCCAGGGGAGCAAACGGG
This 253-nucleotide ribosomal RNA is filed under the name uncultured bacterium. RNAcentral describes it as "partial 16S ribosomal RNA". It matches the Rfam family "Bacterial small subunit ribosomal RNA", at positions 524 to 776 of the family's 1533-position model. The record is from RNAcentral.